AUUGAACGCUGGCGGCAGGCCUAACACAUGCAAGUCGAGCGGAUGAAGGGAGCUUGCUCCUGGAUUCAGCGGCGGACGGGUGAGUAAUGCCUAGGAAUCUGCCUGGUAGUGGGGGAUAACGUAGGGAAACGGGCGCUAAUACCGCAUACGUCCUGAGGGAGAAAGUGGGGGAUCUUCGGACCUCACGCUAUCAGAUGAGCCUAGGUCGGAUUAGCUAGUUGGUGGGGUAAAGGCCUACCAAGCCGACGAUCCGUAACUGGUCUGAGAGGAUGAUCAGUCACACUGGAACUGAGACACGGUCCAGACUCCUACGGGAGGCAGCAGUGGGGAAUAUUGGACAAUGGGCGAAAGCCUGAUCCAGCCAUGCCGCGUGUGUGAAGAAGGUCUUCGGAUUGUAAAGCACUUUAAGUUGGGAGGAAGGGCAGUAAGUUAAUACCUUGCUGUUUUGACGUUACCAUCAGAAUAAGCACCGGCUAACUUCGUG
Molecule: ribosomal RNA, 484 nt
Filed under: uncultured bacterium
Lineage: Bacteria
Description: partial 16S ribosomal RNA
Rfam family: Bacterial small subunit ribosomal RNA
Source: RNAcentral